Molecule: long non-coding RNA, 2565 nt
Filed under: Sus scrofa (pig)
Lineage: Eukaryota; Metazoa; Chordata; Mammalia; Artiodactyla; Suidae
Description: lncRNA (ENSSSCG00035014396.1)
Source: RNAcentral
GGAAGUUCUCCUGCCAGGGAUUGAAUCUGCAGCGACCCAUGCCACACCUGCAGCAACGCCUGAUCCUUUGACCCACUGCACCAGGCCAGGGAUGGAACCUGCACCUCCGCGGAGACCUGAGCCGCUGCAGUCAGAUUCUUAACCCACUGUGCCGAGGGUGGGAGUUCCAGUGUUGGAAUAUUUGAAAGACAAAUUUUUAAAUUAAUUUAUAAACUUUUAAUGUAUGCUUUAUAUUAUACAGUUUUGAGAUUUAUUUAUUUACUUAUUUAUUUAGAAGAUCUAAUAGGGUUUUUUGGUGGUUUGUGAAUUGGGCAGCAUCCCAUCUAGCACAGGAGCUAAUUUAAAAUUACCAUUAACUAUCAUUCUUCUGAGGAAGAGUUAAUAGAAUAAAACUGACCUCAUUUGUUAGUGAGGUUCACAAUAGGCCUUCACUGUUAACUGAUGACUCCACAUUUCCAGGCAUCCUUUAUUGGAGCUAAGUAUUAGCCCUCCAUUGGAUCUAAUUAGAUUUUUUUAUUUAUGCAUUUGUUGACAUUUAAUUAUUUGUGGUUUCUAACGUGUUAAAAUAACUUUUUAAAACAAGUAAUAAUGACAUUCCUUUAGAGAUAAAGAGUUUACCCAAGAUACACACUUUCAUCCUUUUUUAACUUGAAAUCACUGAGGAUUUAAAAGAAUAAUGAGGAGUUCCCAUUGUGGCUCACCAGGGAUCAGACCCACAAGCUCUCAGAGACAACAUCGGGUCCUUAAUCUGCUGAGGCACAAUGGGAAAUCCUACAGUUUGUUUUUGAUCCAGGAUUCAAUCUAAGUUCAUACUUUGUACUUGAUUGUCUCUUUUAGUCUAGAAGAUCCUUCCCUGUACCCAAUGACUUUUUUCCCAGACAUGACUUUUUGUGGGUUUUUUUUUUUUUUUUUUUCUUUCGCUUUUUAGGGCUGCACCUGUGGCAUAUGGAAGUUCCCAGGCUAGGGGUCGAAUCAGAGCUACAGUUGCUGGCCUACACCACAGCCAUAGCAACGCCAGAUCUGAGCAACCUACACUAUAGCUCAUAGCAUCGCCAGAUCCUUAACCCACAACUCAAGGCCAGGAAUCAAACCCGCAACCCCAUGGUUCCUAGUCAGAUUCAUUUCCACUGAGCCACAACAGGAACUCCCCAGACAUGACUUUUUGAAGAAUCUAAGUCACUCAGCUCCUAUCCUUGAUCUGUCUAUGUCCUUGACUUGUUCCCUUUAUUCACUGUGUUUCCCUUGAACUGGAAGAAGUCCAUAGGUCUGAUUAACUUCAGGUUAAAUGCUUUUGAGAAGGAUAUUUCAUAGGUUAUCCUGUAGAUUUUAUAUCAUAUCACAUUAGAAGAUGACAUAAUACUAGAUCUUGUUAUUAAUGAUAAUCACUUGAUCAAGGUGGUUCUUGCCAGAUCUUUCCAUUAUAAUGGUCAUUUUUUUCCCCUUAGUAAUUACUUUCUUUAGGGUAAUAUUUUGGCAUCAUGAGAAUGUUUUUCUUUUUUCUGACAAGCCUUUUAUUCAAUGGCUUUUCUUGUUUGGCCAAGGUGUGCAGUAGCUUGAUGUGGGAUUUCAGCUCCCAGACCAGGCAUUGACAUUGACCCUGGGCCACAGUGGUGAAAGUGCCAAAUCCUAACCACUAGACCACCAGGGACUCCCAACUGAUGAGUCAUAACUGAAUCAUUUACUACAUGGAGGUGCCAAAUGGUGAUUUAAAAAUUACGAUUCUCUAAUUUUCUUUUACAUUUAGUUUCUAUUCAUCAUUUUAGAACGACUGUUUCCCCUCCUUUCUUUUUUCAAAAGCCCCUCCUUUUUUUUUCAGUAUCACUGUCUUCAACCUUCAACGUAUUAUAGUCAAAUACAGUCACGUUUUUUUCUGAUGUUUGUAGAGUGAGCCAGUGAAGCCACUGCAAGUUAGCCUCUGUAUCUUUUAGACAUGACCACAUUAGUGUUUGAGUUUUUCUUUGCUUCUGGUAAAACACAUCCCAGGCUUGCCUUGUACUCAUUCUGUUUCAGGCCUGGGGAAUAUCAGCUAUUUCUCCAAGGAGCCCUUUCUAUUCCUUUUUGGGGGGAUAAAAUUUGAACUCCUUUCGCUUCUAGGCCAUUUUUCAACAGGUAGAGCUAGAAAAUAAAAUUAUUAAAAGUUCAUGAGGAGUUCCUGCUGUGGCUCAGUGAGUUAAGAGGAUGUGGGUUUGAUCCCUGGCCUCAGUAGGUUAAGGAUCUGGUAUUGCAAAAAGCUGUGGUGUAGGUUGCAGAUUCGGCUCUGAUCCUGGGUUGCUGUGGCUGAGGCAUAGGCUGGCAACUGCAGCUCCCAUCUCCCCCAGCCCAGGAACUUCCAUAUGCCUCAGCUGUGGCCCUGAAAAGAAAAUGAAAAAAAGCAUGAAUUCAAAUUGAUGUGUACAGUUAAAAUUUAAGCUUUUUUAAAGUUUUAUAUUUGCUGCUCUUUUAUUGUAAAAUGAAAAUAUUGCUUCUGAGUAACAAUGUAUUUGCUUGUAUGUUUUAUUAUAUAGCUUAUGUUUUAGCACUACAAUACCAGUAUUACUAAUGGUAAAUAUACUGAAUAAAAUUUCA